GCUGCACUCUGGCGGCGUGCCUAAUACAUGCAAGUCGAGCGAACAGACGAGGAGCUUGCUCCUCUGACGUUAGCGGCGGACGGGUGAGUAACACGUGGAUAACCUACCUAUAAGACUGGGAUAACUUCGGGAAACCGGAGCUAAUACCGGAUAAUAUAUUGAACCGCAUGGUUCAAUAGUGAAAGACGGUUUUGCUGUCACUUAUAGAUGGAUCCGCGCCGCAUUAGCUAGUUGGUAAGGUAACGGCUUACCAAGGCGACGAUGCGUAGCCGACCUGAGAGGGUGAUCGGCCACACUGGAACUGAGACACGGUCCAGACUCCUACGGGAGGCAGCAGUAGGGAAUCUUCCGCAAUGGGCGAAAGCCUGACGGAGCAACGCCGCGUGAGUGAUGAAGGUCUUCGGAUCGUAAAACUCUGUUAUUAGGGAAGAACAAAUGUGUAAGUAACUAUGCACGUCUUGACGGUACCUAAUCAGAAAGCCACGGCUAACUACGUG
RNAcentral lists this ribosomal RNA (497 nucleotides) under uncultured bacterium. Its description in RNAcentral is "partial 16S ribosomal RNA". It matches the Rfam family "Bacterial small subunit ribosomal RNA", at positions 28 to 507 of the family's 1533-position model. The record is from RNAcentral.